Molecule: unclassified non-coding RNA, 303 nt
Filed under: Lepiota cortinarius
Lineage: Eukaryota; Fungi; Basidiomycota; Agaricomycetes; Agaricales; Agaricaceae
Description: partial contains 5.8S ribosomal RNA, internal transcribed spacer 2, and large subunit ribosomal RNA
Source: RNAcentral
CGCACCUUGCGCUUCUUGGUAUUCCGAGAAGAAUGCCUGUUUGAGUGUCAUUAAAUUCUAAAACCCUUUCGGUAUUUUGUAUGCUGAUUGUGGCUUGGAUAUUGGGGGUUCUUGCAGGCCUUGUUAUAAUAUAGAGGUCAGCUCCCCUAAAAUACAUUAGCAGAACUGUUUGCGGUCUGUCACUGGUGUGAUAAUUAUCUGCACCAAGGCACUGCUCUCUGAGUUGUUCAGCUUCUAAUUGUCUUAUCAGACAACUAUUGAACUUUUGACCUCAAAUCAGGUAGGACUACCCGCUGAACUUAA